UACGUAGGGGGCUAGCGUUGUCCGGAAUCAUUGGGCGUAAAGAGCGUGUAGGCGGCCCGGUAAGUCCGCUGUGAAAGUCGGGGGCUCAACCCUCGAAUGCCGGUGGAUACUGUCGGGCUAGAGUGCGGAAGAGGCGAGUGGAAUUCCUGGUGUAGCGGUGAAAUGCGCAGAUAUCAGGAGGAACACCGAUUGCGAAGGCAGCUCGCUGGGACGUUACUGACGCUGAGACGCGAAAGCGUGGGGAGCGAACAGG
RNAcentral lists this ribosomal RNA (253 nucleotides) under uncultured bacterium. Its description in RNAcentral is "partial 16S ribosomal RNA". It matches the Rfam family "Bacterial small subunit ribosomal RNA", at positions 524 to 776 of the family's 1533-position model. The record is from RNAcentral.